Molecule: ribosomal RNA, 468 nt
Filed under: uncultured bacterium
Lineage: Bacteria
Description: partial 16S ribosomal RNA
Rfam family: Bacterial small subunit ribosomal RNA
Source: RNAcentral
GACGAACGCUGGCGGCGUGCUUAACACAUGCAAGUCGAACGGAAAGGCCCUGCUUUUGUGGGGUGCUCGAGUGGCGAACGGGUGAGUAACACGGGAGUAACCUGCCCUUGACUUUGGGAUAACUUCAGGAAACUGGGGCUAAUACCGGAUAGGAGCUCCUGCUGCAUGGUGGGGGUUGGAAAGUUUCGGCGGUUGGGGAUGGACUCGCGGCUUAUCAGCUUGUUGGUGGGGUAGUGGCUUACCAAGGCUUUGACGGGUAGCCGGCCUGAGAGGGUGACCGGCCACAUUGGGACUGGGAUACGGCCCAGCCUCCUACGGGAGGCAGCAGUGGGGAAUAUUGCACAAUGGGCGGAAGCCUGAUGCAGCAACGCCGCUUGCGGGAUGACGGCCUUCGGGUUGUAACCCGCUUUCGCCUGUGACGAAGCGUGAGUGACGGUAAUGGGUAAAGAAGCACCGGCUAACUACGUG